AUACGUAGGUGACAAGCGUUAUCCGGAUUUACUGGGCGUAAAGGGCGUGUAGGCGGUCUUGCAAGUCAGAAGUGAAAUUCCUGAGCUCAACUCGGGCGCUGCUUCUGAAACUGCAGGACUUGAGUGCUGGAGGGGAUAGCGGAAUUCCUAGUGGAGCGGUAAAAUGCGCAGAUAUUAGGAAGAACACCGGUGGCGAAGGCGGCUAUCUGGACAGUAACUGACGCGGAGGCGCGAAAGCGUGGGGAGCAAACAGGAUUAGAUCCCCUGGUAGUCCACGCCGUAAACGAUGAAUACUAGGUGUAGGGGGUAUCGACUCCCUCUGUGCCGUAGUUAACACAAUAAGUAUUCCGCCUGGGGAGUACGGCCGCAAGGUUGAAACUCAAAUGAAUUGACGGGG
This 397-nucleotide ribosomal RNA is filed under the name uncultured bacterium. RNAcentral's name for it is "partial 16S ribosomal RNA". It matches the Rfam family "Bacterial small subunit ribosomal RNA", at positions 523 to 918 of the family's 1533-position model. The record is from RNAcentral.